This 115-nucleotide non-coding RNA is filed under the name Gordonia soli. Its description in RNAcentral is "TPP sequence". It matches the Rfam family "TPP riboswitch aptamer (THI element)". Rfam says of the family: Vitamin B(1) in its active form thiamin pyrophosphate (TPP) is an essential coenzyme that is synthesised by coupling of pyrimidine and thiazole moieties in bacteria. The previously detected thiamin-regulatory element, thi box was extended, resulting in a new, highly conserved RNA secondary structure, the THI element, which is widely distributed in eubacteria and also occurs in some archaea. Analysis of operon structures identified a large number of new candidate thiamin-regulated genes, mostly transporters, in various prokaryotic organisms. RNAcentral also lists the same sequence under 1 other name. Lineage: Bacteria; Bacillati; Actinomycetota; Actinomycetes; Mycobacteriales; Gordoniaceae. The record is from RNAcentral.
AACUGCACACGCGGGGGCUCUCACGAUGACCGAGGGCUGAGAUGGCGACGGGCGGUCGCCGACCGCCUGAACCUGUCCGGGUAAUGCCGGCGUAGGGAGAGCAUCCAUGGGGACA